Molecule: ribosomal RNA, 161 nt
Filed under: uncultured bacterium
Lineage: Bacteria
Description: partial 16S ribosomal RNA
Rfam family: Bacterial small subunit ribosomal RNA
Source: RNAcentral
GUGGCGGGGCGCAGCUGAUCAGCAUGCCGCGUGCAGGAUGAAGGCCUUCGGGUUGUAAACUGCUUUUGUACGGAACGAAAAGCCCUGGGUUAAUACCCUGGGGUCAUGACGGUACCGUAAGAAUAAGCACCGGCUAACUACGUGCCAGCAGCCGCGGUAAU